This 364-nucleotide ribosomal RNA is filed under the name Arganthomyza versitheca. Its description in RNAcentral is "partial 16S ribosomal RNA". Lineage: Eukaryota; Metazoa; Arthropoda; Insecta; Diptera; Anthomyzidae. The record is from RNAcentral.
UCGAAGGUAGCAUAAUCAGUAGUCUUUUAAUUGAAGGCUGGAAUGAAUGGUUGGAUGAAAUAUUAACUGUUUCAUUUGAAAUUAUUAUAGAAUUUUAUUUUUUAGUUAAAAAGCUAAAAUUUAAUUAAAAGACGAGAAGACCCUAUAAAUCUUUAUAUUUUUUAUAUAAUAAUUAUUAAGAUGUAUUAAAUUAUUAUAUUAUAAAAUAUUUUAUUGGGGUGAUAUUAAAAUUUAAAAAACUUUUAAUUUUUAUAAAACAUAAAUUUAUGAAUAAUUGAUCCAUUAUUAAUGAUUAAAAAUUUAAGUUACUUUAGGGAUAACAGCGUAAUUUUUUUGGAGAGUUCAUAUCGAUAAAAAAGAUUGC